AUUGAACGCUGGCGGCAUGCUUUACACAUGCAAGUCGAACGGCAGCGCGGGCUUCGGCCUGGCGGCGAGUGGCGAACGGGUGAGUAAUACAUCGGAACGUGCCCAGUAGUGGGGGAUAGCUCGGCGAAAGCCGGAUUAAUACCGCAUACGACCUGAGGGUGAAAGCGGGGGAUCUUCGGACCUCGCGCUAUUGGAGCGGCCGAUGGCAGAUUAGCUAGUUGGUGGGGUAAAGGCCUACCAAGGCGACGAUCUGUAGCUGGUCUGAGAGGACGAUCAGCCACACUGGGACUGAGACACGGCCCAGACUCCUACGGGAGGCAGCAGUGGGGAAUUUUGGACAAUGGGCGAAAGCCUGAUCCAGCAAUGCCGCGUGUGUGAUGAAGGCCUUCGGGUUGUAAAGCACUUUUGGCGGGAACGAAAAGGACUGUGCCAAUACCACGGUUCGAUGACGGUACCCGCAGAAUAAGCACCGGCUAACUACGUG
Molecule: ribosomal RNA, 484 nt
Filed under: uncultured bacterium
Lineage: Bacteria
Description: partial 16S ribosomal RNA
Rfam family: Bacterial small subunit ribosomal RNA
Source: RNAcentral